ACCAUGUACAUAAUUGACGAUUCCAACCGCAGUCUACCUUAUGGAUUAAUUCAGGUCUCUCCAUACCAAGGAUUGUAUAGAAAUCCUGAUCACCCAAAUGUCCCUAAGAAAUAAAUUGGGGAAAGGUUAUUAAAAUGUUAUUAAAUCCCGUCUUCAAAUUGAACAACCUGAAUGCUCGAAUUCUCGGACGUGAGAUUGGAAAUAGAGACAAUAAGAUUUGAGUCUACUGGAUGGAAUUUGUACGGCACAGAUCAGAUUCAGAACAGAUUAUUCAUUCGCGGAAUACCGAAAUCAUAAUGUCAUAUUACUGUGUGCCGAUGUUCUUCCCAGAAGGGGAUCCAAUAUGGAACAAAAUUCGUGUUCGAAAGAGGUGAGUGUAAAACAUACGCACCUUGAAGUAAUAUUUUUCAGUUACAUGAUCAACGUUGUCCUUGCUGAGUAUACUGUCAUAUUCUGGAGAUUCUCUAAGUCGUUCAAAAUUGAAAAGCACCACACCACUGUUAAACCCUGGAAAUCCACCCAAAUAUGCCGGCUCC
Long non-coding RNA from Athalia rosae (coleseed sawfly), 536 nucleotides. RefSeq lists it as uncharacterized. The record is from RefSeq and is a predicted model, not a curated record. The transcript has 2 exons. NCBI's taxonomy places the organism in Eukaryota, Metazoa, Arthropoda, Insecta, Hymenoptera, Athaliidae.